This 471-nucleotide ribosomal RNA is filed under the name Pantoea agglomerans. RNAcentral's name for it is "bacterial SSU rRNA". It matches the Rfam family "Bacterial small subunit ribosomal RNA", at positions 43 to 502 of the family's 1533-position model. The record is from RNAcentral. Lineage: Bacteria; Pseudomonadati; Pseudomonadota; Gammaproteobacteria; Enterobacterales; Erwiniaceae.
CGCGGCCUAAACAUGCAAGUCGGACGGUAGCACAGAGGAGCUUGCUCCUUGGGUGACGAGUGGCGGACGGGUGAGUAAUGUCUGGGGAUCUGCCCGAUAGAGGGGGAUAACCACUGGAAACGGUGGCUAAUACCGCAUAACGUCGCAAGACCAAAGAGGGGGACCUUCGGGCCUCUCACUAUCGGAUGAACCCAGAUGGGAUUAGCUAGUACGCGGGGUAAUGGCCCACCUACGCGACGAUCCCUAUCUGGUCUGAGAGGAUGACCAGCCACACUGGAACUGACACACGGUCCACACUCCUACGGGAGGCAGCAGUGGGGAAUAUUGCACAGUGGGCGCACGCCUGAUGCCCCCAUGCCGCGUGUAUGAAAAAGGCCUUCGGGUUGUAAAGUACUUUCAGCGGGGAGGAAGGCGACGGGGUUAAUAACUCUGUCGAUUGAUUUUCCCCGCAACAAGAAGCCCCGGCUAACU